GCAGUCGUGGCGGAGUGGGUUAAGGCGAUGGACUAGAAAUCCAUUGGGGUCUCCCUACACAGGUUUGAAUCCCGUCGAAUGCG
This 83-nucleotide transfer RNA is filed under the name Ixodes scapularis (black-legged tick). It matches the Rfam family "tRNA". Rfam says of the family: Transfer RNA (tRNA) molecules are approximately 80 nucleotides in length. Their secondary structure includes four short double-helical elements and three loops (D, anti-codon, and T loops). Further hydrogen bonds mediate the characteristic L-shaped molecular structure. tRNAs have two regions of fundamental functional importance: the anti-codon, which is responsible for specific mRNA codon recognition, and the 3' end, to which the tRNAs corresponding amino acid is attached (by aminoacyl-tRNA synthetases). tRNAs cope with the degeneracy of the genetic code in two manners: having more than one tRNA (with a specific anti-codon) for a particular amino acid; and 'wobble' base-pairing, i.e. permitting non-standard base-pairing at the 3rd anti-codon position. Lineage: Eukaryota; Metazoa; Arthropoda; Arachnida; Ixodida; Ixodidae. The record is from Rfam by way of RNAcentral.